Molecule: long non-coding RNA, 1302 nt
Organism: Lepisosteus oculatus (spotted gar)
Lineage: Eukaryota; Metazoa; Chordata; Actinopteri; Semionotiformes; Lepisosteidae
Source: RefSeq, a predicted model, not a curated record
GCCAUCAAAUCACAGAGAGGAUUGUUAAAUUACAGAAGGUAAAGUAAGUGGGAUGGAAAGCCUCAGAAGAGGUUAAGUAAAAAUCAAGAGAGGAGAAGGUAACCAUGUGGGAAUUGCCUGAAAGUCUGAACCCAGCACAGGCUGCUCUUUGAUUUUGUUCCUCGGUGGCAAAGAGACUUCCAUGGUGAUGACUGACCAUGAGAACAAGACUCCUCUUUCAGAGAGACCUGGGGAUGUCAACAGAUUGUCAUGCCUUGCAGAGGAAAAGCCGAGGUUGGGACUCGGCAGGGAGGAGCCACGACAACAGCUGAUCCAGCUAAGGGGAAACUUCAGAUAUGAGGGGGUAAUUGUAUCAUAGACCCUUUUGAUACAGCUCAGGUAGGUGUGCUUUUGUUGAAAAAGAAGUCUCUGGCUUUUAGCUGUUUAACACAAACAAAUAUGAAUCAAUGCAUAAUAUUUUCCAGAAAAUCCAUUUUCAAUACCCAAGAUAACUUGUAAAUUGUAUAACCAAGUUUGAAGCAGAUAUGACACUAGUGUCAGCAUGUUUACAUUACUCAUGCAUUUAAACUGGUAUAAGUUUGAUCUACAAAAGUUCAACUUGAAAAACAGAAACAGAGACAAAUGGAUAUACAGUAUGCAUCUUGUGAAACACAGUUUCACUGGUAGUCAGACUCCCUAGAAAAAAUCUUGCACAUCAAUGUUUAAUGUUGUCUGCUUUAGAGUAUUUCCUGAUAAGAAAGAUGAAUUAGCAAGAAUUAGUAAAAAGUAAGGAGAAAGGGGUGUAAAAUGUAUAUAGAAUUUUUCUGAUGGUAUUGCAUUCUUUAACAAUUGCAUGUAGGGGAAGCAAGAUGAUUUAUCUUUUGUUAACAAUAGAAUGGAACUGGAACUCCCUUUCAUUGGUUUGACUCCUAUUUGGCUAGAAGGCACCAAUUAGUAAAUCUUUUCUGUUUUAAUUUGAUGAUGUUCCACUUAUUCAGGGUGUUCCACAGGGUACUGUACUGGGACCUCUAUAUUUCAGUUUUAGCACAUACUGUACUGUAUCUGUAACUUAUUGGUUAAAUCAUUCACCAUGGUGUACUUUCUGUUUUCAUUCUUAUGCUUAAUUAAUUACUAUGAUUACUUAUUCUCAGAAUUACUUGCAAUUUAAAUUUGAUAACAUUGUUGUGUUUCUGUACUUUUUAUAUACUGUAUCUGCUUCGUAUUAGGUAAAGAAUGCAAACUUUAACACGAAUGACGUUUUGUUGAUGGGCUCCCAACAACAAAGUCGCUUCCGAAAUAAAACCCUUGACUAAAGUUGAAAAC